UUUGAAGAAAUGCGGGAGAGUGAACAUGGGGAAUUAUAGGCCAAUUAGCCUUACAUCAGUCAUGAGGAAGAUGCUGGAGUCGAUGAUUAAAGAUGUUUAGCAGCGCAUUUGGAAAGGAGUGACAGGAUUGGUCAAAGUCAGCAUGGAU
Amblyraja radiata (thorny skate) is the source of this 148-nucleotide long non-coding RNA. RefSeq lists it as uncharacterized. The record is from RefSeq and is a predicted model, not a curated record. The transcript is spliced from 4 exons. NCBI's taxonomy places the organism in Eukaryota, Metazoa, Chordata, Chondrichthyes, Rajiformes, Rajidae.